UACGAAGGGAGCGAGCGUUGUUCGGAAUCACUGGGCUUAAAGCGUGCGUAGGCGGAGAUGCAAGUCAGGAGUGAAAUCCCGGGGCUUAACCCCGGAACUGCUUUUGAAACUGCAUCCCUAGAAUUCGGUAGAGGUUAAUGGAAUAUCCAGUGUAGAGGUGAAAUUCGCAGAUAUUGGAUAGAACACCAGUGGCGAAGGCGAUUAACUGGGCCGAUAUUGACGCUGAGGCACGAAAGCGUGGGGAGCAAACAGG
This 253-nucleotide ribosomal RNA is filed under the name uncultured bacterium. RNAcentral describes it as "partial 16S ribosomal RNA". It matches the Rfam family "Bacterial small subunit ribosomal RNA", at positions 524 to 776 of the family's 1533-position model. The record is from RNAcentral.